GACGAACGCUGGCGGCGUGCUUAACACAUGCAAGUCGAACGGAAAGGCCUCUUUCGGGGGGUACUCGAGUGGCGAACGGGUGAGUAACACGUGAGUAACCUGCCCUUGACUUUGGGAUAACUACAGGAAACUGGGGCUAAUACCGGAUAGGAGCUCCUGCUGCAUGGUGGGGGUUGGAAAGUUUCGGCGGUUGGGGAUGGACUCGCGGCUUAUCAGCUUGUUGGUGGGGUAGUGGCUUACCAAGGCUUUGACGGGUAGCCGGCCUGAGAGGGUGACCGGCCACAUUGGGACUGAGAUACGGCCCAGACUCCUACGGGAGGCAGCAGUGGGGAAUAUUGCACAAUGGGUGGAAGCCUGAUGCAGCAACGCCGUGUGCGGGAUGACGGCCUUCGGGUUGUAAACCGCUUUCGCUCAUGACGAAGCUUUGCGUGACGGUAGUGGGUAAAGAAGCACCGGCUAACUACGUG
Molecule: ribosomal RNA, 467 nt
Filed under: uncultured bacterium
Lineage: Bacteria
Description: partial 16S ribosomal RNA
Rfam family: Bacterial small subunit ribosomal RNA
Source: RNAcentral